CUCCACAUGCACACAGAAGAAAGGUCAUGUGAAGGCAUAGUGAGGAAGCGGCUGUGCACAAGGCAGGAAGAGAGCUCUCGCUGGAAACCAACCCUGAUGGCACCUCGAUCUGGAUUCCAGCCUCUAGAACUCGUUAAUUCAGGCAGGCUGGAGACUGGCACGAUCUGGGCACGUGACAGAGGCUUUGUUCGUGGGAGUUCUGGAUUCCAGUGUCCUGGUUACCAAAGGAGAGUCAUGAGAUGAUUUCUUUGCCAGAGGUGAUCACCCAUGUGAUUAGAGAGAUACACCGCGAGAGAAGGAACACAAGCAGGGGGAGAGGCAGAGGGAG
Molecule: long non-coding RNA, 328 nt
Organism: Zalophus californianus (California sea lion)
Lineage: Eukaryota; Metazoa; Chordata; Mammalia; Carnivora; Otariidae
Exons: 3
Source: RefSeq, a predicted model, not a curated record